Molecule: ribosomal RNA, 935 nt
Filed under: Philodromus cespitum
Lineage: Eukaryota; Metazoa; Arthropoda; Arachnida; Araneae; Philodromidae
Description: SSU rRNA
Rfam family: Eukaryotic small subunit ribosomal RNA
Source: RNAcentral
UCNUNNAGAUAGCCANGCAUGUCUAGUACAUGCCGUAUUAAGGCGAAACCGCGAAUGGCUCAUUAAAUCAGUUAUGGUUCCUUGGAUCGUACCUUACUACUUGGAUAACUGUGGCAAUUCUAGAGCUAAUACAUGCAGCAGAGCUCCGACCUUCGGGGACGAGCGCUUUUAUUAGACCAAAACCAAUCGGACCUCUGGUCCGUAGAUCGUGGUGACUCUGCAUAACUUUGGGCUGAUCGCACGGGCCUGUCCCGGCGACGUAUCUUUCAAGUGUCUGCCUUAUCAACUUUCGAUGGUAGGUUACGCGCCUACCAUGGUCGUAACGGGUAACGGGGAAUCAGGGUUCGAUUCCGGAGAGGGAGCCUGAGAAACGGCUACCACAUCCAAGGAAGGCAGCAGGCGCGCAAAUUACCCACUCCCAGAACGGGGAGGUAGUGACGAAAAAUAACAAUACGGGACUCAUUUGAGACCCCGUAAUUGGAAUGAGUACACUCUAAAUCCUUUAACGAGGAUCCAUUGGAGGGCAAGUCUAGUGCCAGCAGCCGCGGUAAUUCUAGCUCCAAUAGCGUAUAUUAAAGUUGUUGCGGUUAAAAAGCUCGUAGUUGGAUCUCAGUUCCAGACGGGUGGUCCGCCUACCGGCGGUUACUGCCUGUUCUGAACAGCCAGCCGGUUUCUCUCGAUGAUCUUCACCGGUUGUCUUGGGUGACCGGCAAGUUUACUUUGAAAAAAUUAGAGUGCUCAAAGCAGGCGCGACGCCUGAAUAAUGGUGCAUGGAAUAAUGGAAUAGGACCUCGGUUCUAUUUUGUUGGUUUUCGGAACACGAGGUAAUGAUUAAGAGGGACAGAUGGGGGCAUUCGUAUUGCGACGCUAGAGGUGAAAUUCUUGGACCGUCGUAAGACGACUACUGNAGAUUUUUUUUUUNUNAAANNANAAAA